AAUUUUCCAUAGUAUAGGAGUGAAAUCUUUAGCCUUUAUUCGCCUGGGUUACAUCUUGCCUAUAGGUGGGUACUUGUGUGGGUUCCAGUGCCAUCUACUACCCAAGCUGUGCAUCUCGGAGGAGAUGUGGGACCUUACAACAACCACCUCUUCUCACUGCAACCGGCUGAAAAUUCAGGAGAAAAAGAAAACCCAGCCAUUAAAAAUGGGCUUGGCACCAGAUGAUCUGUAGCACUGUUCCAUCAAAUACUACUGCUAAAAAGUCUUGCUGAAAUAGAUGUCUGUAGCAUAACAGCCAGCUGGCUAGUGGAAAGAAGUGAUCGGCUAUCAAGACCAGCCAAUGUUGUGGACCCAGUUCUCUGCUGCAAAGGGAAUGCAAUGCAUUGCUAACAAUCAGGGCCUUUAAGCCUACCUGAAGUUUUACUUAACACCACUUCUAGGAAAGGCCUAAAAGAGAGCAGUUGGGGGAGGAGAGAAUCCAGCAUCACAAGGAAUCCCCUUGCUAUUUCAUCCUGAUGAGCCUCACAAAUCUCUGGAGCAUAAAGGCUUGGAGGAAACUUGCUGUCAGGAAAGAAUACAGAAUGUCUUGUAUAUCAUUUGUAUUAUGAACAGCACUAAGCAUAAAUUCCUGAGAUUCAAAAUAAUACAAACCAGAACACUGAGCUAUUAGAUCCAGAGUUGUCGCUGGAGGUUCAAGCGGCCUUAGUAGCACAGAGCACCGUCCAAGGUCAAGAGCUCCUUCCUGAGUGACAGCUUUUCCUUAGAAAGUAGGAACUUAGGGAGCAAUCCAACUGUCAGCGGAGCCAGCGGAAAGCUCUGUAGGAUCCUCCUCCAGGAGCCACCAGCCCAACUGAAUGCCAGAUCUGUUGGGAGCUGCGUGCACAAGCCUGCCAGAAAGUGCCGGCUCCGGCCAACAGGCCUCCCAGGGAGUAAGUGCUCCCCAUAGGCUGGCAGAGUUUAAAGGGGGAUUUGGACUUGGGGGAGGGGUCUGAAUGCAAGAAGGAUCUUGUGUAAGUCCCCCCCCGCAGCUCCUCCCCCGCCACGCCUCUGGUAUGCCCUGUUUUUGGGCCUUCCGUCCACUUCCACCAGGCUUCUAUCUGCUGGGCUGUCUGUCCCCGGCAGACCCCCAGAGGUACUGGAAGGCUCCUGACAGAGCCACAUCUUCACCACGGCAGAAAGCUGCUGCCAGGGGAGCCCAGCACAGCCAGUAGUCUACCAGCACUGUUGGGGAUCCGCAGCAUCCAACUCACCCCAGCCCAAGGGUAAGUUGGAUUGCUCCCUUAGUAACUUAACAGUUUCCCAGAUUGUAAAAAGUUCCUUCUCAGAUAGGAUGGCUGUAUGCAGCAUUACCCAGACAAUUCAACAGGGACUGUUUUCCUUGUGUAUG
Long non-coding RNA from Rhineura floridana, 1387 nucleotides. RefSeq lists it as uncharacterized. NCBI's taxonomy places the organism in Eukaryota, Metazoa, Chordata, Lepidosauria, Squamata, Rhineuridae. The record is from RefSeq and is a predicted model, not a curated record. The transcript has 3 exons.